Thunnus maccoyii (southern bluefin tuna) is the source of this 101-nucleotide small nucleolar RNA. RefSeq annotates it as small nucleolar RNA U13. The transcript has a single exon. The record is from RefSeq and is a predicted model, not a curated record. NCBI's taxonomy places the organism in Eukaryota, Metazoa, Chordata, Actinopteri, Scombriformes, Scombridae.
ACACUUUCAGUUCAAACAGAUGUUGAUCGGUGUGUUCAUGGACAAUCUGUGAAAAGUGCUGCCUUAACCUUGUUACGCUCUGCACCUCAGCCCAUCUGAAC